GGAAGAGAAAGAAAAAUCGAUUUCCUGAGUAGCGGCGAGCGAAACGGAAAGAGCCCAAACCAAGAAGCUUGCUUCUUGGGGUUGUAGGACACUCUAUACGGAGUUACAAAAGAAAGUUAUAAAUGAAGCGGUCUGGAAAGGCCCGCCAAAGACGGUAACAGCCCGGUAGUUGAAAUGGCUUUCCCUCCAGAGUGGAUCCUGAGUACGGCGGAACACGUGAAAUUCCGUCGGAAUCCGGGAGGACCAUCUCCCAAGGCUAAAUACUCCCUAGUGACCGAUAGUGAACCAGUACCGUGAGGGAAAGGUGAAAAGCACCCCGGAAGGGGAGUGAAACAGUUCCUGAAACCGUGUGCCUACAAGUAGUUAGAGCCCGUUAAUGGGUGAUAGCGUGCCUUUUGUAGAAUGAACCGGCGAGUUACGAUUUGUUGCAAGGUUAAGCGGAAAAAGCGGAGCCGUAGCGAAAGCGAGUCUGAAUAGGGCGCAUAAGUAACAGGUCGUAGACCCGAAACCAGGUGAUCUACCCAUGUCCAGGAUGAAGGUAAGGUAAUACUUACUGGAGGUCCGAACCCACGCACGUUGAAAAGUGCGGGGAUGAGGUGUGGGUAGCGGAGAAAUUCCAAUCGAACUUGGAGAUAGCUGGUUCUCUCCGAAAUAGCUUUAGGGCUAGCCUCGAGGUAAAGAGUCAUGGAGGUAGAGCACUGUUUGGACUAGGGGCCCUUCUCGGGUUACCGAAUUCAGAUAAACUCCGAAUGCCAUGUACUUAUACUCGGGAGUCAGACUGCGAGUGAUAAGAUCCGUAGUCGAAAGGGAAACAGCCCAGACCACCAGUUAAGGUCCCCAAAUAUAUGUUAAGUGGAAAAGGAUGUGGGGUUGCUUAGACAACCAGGAUGUUGGCUUAGAAGCAGCCACCAUUGAAAGAGUGCG
Molecule: ribosomal RNA, 924 nt
Filed under: Listeria monocytogenes
Lineage: Bacteria; Bacillati; Bacillota; Bacilli; Caryophanales; Listeriaceae
Description: partial 23S ribosomal RNA
Rfam family: Bacterial large subunit ribosomal RNA
Source: RNAcentral